UUGAACGAAGCCAAAGUGUGAGGCCUAUCACUGUUAAUGAUAAAAUUGACGGAAAGUCCGUUCAAG
Molecule: transfer RNA, 66 nt
Filed under: Serratella zapekinae
Lineage: Eukaryota; Metazoa; Arthropoda; Insecta; Ephemeroptera; Ephemerellidae
Description: tRNA-Asn
Source: RNAcentral